GUGGUGUGUGGAGUCAGAGGAACAGAAGUCUUUUAACUGGACGGUGGACAGUGGAACACACAGUAUUGAGAUCAGUACACUGCAGCCCGGAAAGCUGUUCUGGGUCACGGUGGCUGCCAUUAAUGGGGCAGGAGUGGGGGUCCAAAGCACCCCAUACAAACUGCUCAUAGGUAAGGAAACAAAACAGGUAUAAAACAAUCAUUUUAAAGCGUAAUCUACUCAAUAUGUUACCUGUUGCUCUCUUUUUCACAGAGUUGAGGCAGGAGGCGACACCGUUUCAGACAGGCAUACUCAGUAUGUCUCAUUUCCUUGCUGUGAUUAAAGAGCCGGUAUUCAUCGGCAGCGUUGGCACCCUCCUGUGGUGUGUUUUGAUGAUUACUGCCGUGUUUUUAUACAGGAGACAUGUCAGACCCACCAACCUGGGAGGCAAACACUCAGGUCUAUAAUAAAGUCUCGAUUGACUUCCUUUUUUCUAUACACACAUAGUCAUACAAUUAUAAUUGUCUGUUUCAUUUAUAGGUUUGUAUAGACUGGAAAGUGAAGAUCUCAUCAUCAAACACAGAAUGGCGGCACCAGACUCUCCGUGGAUCUCUGGAGGCUGGAGGCCAGAUUCCAGCAGUGAGCCCAAGCAGGGCCUUUGGACCCCGAGUCAAGAGAACUCCGGCUUCCGGAGGACAACUCUGCCCAUUACGGCUAAAAAGGACCCCAACCCCUUUCGGUCAGCCGUCCCGAUUGUACCAGACAAUUGCGGCGUCUAUGGCACCUUUUAUGUGGAUCUAACCGGCAAUGGAAUGAAGACGUUUAAUAGUCCAGGUCACUGUCCCAGAAUGCCUCACAGCAAAUCUCAGCUGCAUAACUCCGAGACUGUUCGGAUCACCGAACCCAUCGUCAAAACUGCCGUCGUGAGGGAAGUGCAGGCGUUGCCAUGGAAAUGUGCCCUCCCUGCCCAGCCCAACAUGGGAGUUCUGAAGGAAUCGUGGGAGAAAAAUUACAAGCGUGAGCUGCAUGCGGUAAAAAGUGCCCCGUUAAUGCCCGUGAGUCAACGAGCACUGGCAGUGUGCAGUGCACAGAGUAACCAUCAGCAAAGAUUCAGUCAGCACCCUGCAGGUGGUGUAUCAGAGCCUGUGAAGCCACUGAGUUCUCCGCGUAUGCUGCGCUACUCUGCCUCUCUGCAGCUGGUGGACAUGUUACCCAGCCCUCCGCCUCUUCCUAUGGAGGACAACCACAGCCUCAGCUCAGAGGACGAGUCUACCAGAUCCACUAAGUUGACAGUUGACAUCGGAUCUCAGCAGUCUGUUUGUGCUGCCUCUGGGCUCCAGGGUCCCGCUACGGUUACUACAGGCUGUCCAACCCACCACAGCCCAGCCCAGUCAAGCCCGUCCUACAGCCACCUGUCCACGGCCUCCUUCUGUCUCUCCACUGACGACUACCAGGACACCACGCUCAGUACUCAGGGCCACACUCAAUACAUGGAGAUCAGCCCCAAGCCACAGGGGCAAAGGUAAAAGAACACCUGAGUCCUGAGAGAACAUACAGUAUAUGUGAAGGGAGUAUCAAGACAAGGGCUAAUUGUGAUGUCUCCCAACAGUGCAUCCCAUCAAAGUUCUCCUUCAAUGCCACGUCCGUUCUCUCCCACACCCACGUUUGGUUACAUCUGUGGGCCUGCCGACCGGGAGAUGGAUGACGAGCAGGAGCCUCAGGCAGUCGGCCUCAGAAGAGCCACACUGAGGAGCACGCCCUCAUCUUGUUGCAGCGAAUGGGAGGGUUCGUUGUGGAACGGCUGGGGUUCGGUGUCCGAAAGCAAUGUGACGAGCGCUCGAACCAGUAUCAUCAGCUCUUCUGACUGCUCGUUCAUAAACGAUGCGAACUUUGCCCGCGUCCUGGCUAUGACAGCCGAAUCCAUGAGUGGUACUUUAUCAGGCAAGUUAAAACUCUCUUUAGCUUCUGUAGAAUUAGGAUGUUUUAAUUUAUAGUCUUCACAUGAUUCAAGUUCUAAGUUGGUUAACAGCAAGAACAGAUGUAGUUGCCAGAAAUGUCCACUAGGUGGAACAACCUGCUCACGCAGUCAAUGUUCUAACAGCAGCUCUACACAGAUUCACCACCCCUGAAAGCUCUGCUAAUUUCCACAGAAAUGAAAUGAAAUAAAAAUGCCUGCU
Molecule: long non-coding RNA, 2156 nt
Organism: Sinocyclocheilus anshuiensis
Lineage: Eukaryota; Metazoa; Chordata; Actinopteri; Cypriniformes; Cyprinidae
Source: Ensembl